GUCAUACUCAGUACCAUCAGCACUGCAAUCAUUGUCACCAUUGUAAUCAGCAUCAUCAUUGUGGUGGCUAUUGUAGUUGGCAUAAUAGCAUGUUGUGUGUGUGGCUGUGUGUGCUGCGCUAAGGCCACGAACACUCGCCCGGAGACGAGGACUUACGUAACCACACAACCAGUACAGCAGCCUCAAGUUGUUGUUCAACAAGCACACCCACCUCCACAGGGCGGAUAUCCUCCACAGGGCGGAUAUCCCCCACAACAAGCAGCAUACCCUCCCGCUGGUGGUGCGUAUCCACCUACAGUAGGCGAGAAACCACCAAGUUACCCUAUAUAAUUUACCUAAUUAUAAAGGCAGAAUCAACUGAUUUCUUCAUUUUACAAGAAUUUUAAAACAUUACCUAAUUACAGAUCGUUUAUAAACAGCAUAAAUAAUUAUUAUGCUUUUAGUUAUGUGCUUUAUUAGUUUAGUCUUUGGCCUAUUCAUUUAUUUAAUGCUUUUUGUGAACACAUCAUUUGACUUGUGCAUGUUCGAAUAUUAUAUCGUCAUCAUAUUUGUGAUAUCAUUUGCAUAUAUCACAAAAUUAAUAGAAUUUUGGGUGUUUUGGUUAUUAACGCAUAUUCCAUUUACUAUCAAUAUAUGCUACAUUGUAGGCUUAUGAGUGUUUUAUUAUUAUUAUUAUUAAUAAUAAUAAUAAUAAUAAUAAUAAUAAUAAUAAUAAUAAUAAUAAUAAUAAUAAUAAUAAUAAUAAUAAUAAUAAUAUAUGUAAUGUUAUAUAGCACACAUAUCCAUCUAAUGUAAGAUGCUCAGGGCGCUAUAUGUGGACUAAGAACUUUUUCAAUGAUAUUUUUCGCUCCUUAGAGUCUCUUCGUGUUUAGUCUGUGCUACCCGGUAAGCCGGUACCAGCAACUCUCUUUGUCCCCUACAGGGGCUGUCUGUCAGUGGCGUAUCUAGGGGAGGGCGCGAGUGGGAAGGGAGCGCACGCCUCCCCCAAAAUUACUCGCGCUUCCCAGUGAAAAAAUCACGGUCAGGUACCGGUAGUUAAAAAUCACCUAAAAUAACCAUAUUUUGCGAAUUAGCGCCCCUCAACUGAUCAUCGAGCCCCACCCCCCAUCAACUACCUAUUUCAAUACCCCACUGCUGUCUGUCCAGUACACCGGGGUACCCCCUACUCGUCUCGAAGGAUGUACUGGGUUCUUUAUAUAUUGCACACGUAGGGUACAAAAGGAUAGUUUUUAUGGCAUAGUAUGGUUCAAAUUGUGUCUUUUUAGACCACAAUAUUUUGGAUUGACAAUCAAAGUAACGUUAUUUCGAUAGGUAGAUUAUUAUUUUGUUAAACUUUUGAUCCGCCGACCUCAUUGGGUGUCGUUUGUAUAUACAUUGGGCCUACGGUUUAUAGUCCUUAUCCCCAAAAGACUUGUUCUACCACCAGAAAUAUAGACGAGCGUGCCGUUCGAAUCAGCGCCAAUAUUAUGGCUAUAGCUUGCGGCGCCCAUGCUAACCGCUGCACCAUUCGACUCGCAUAAACCAAAUUUUUCGUUAAUAUUGACAAUAUUAAUUAUAACGUUUCUGUUAUGAGCAUCAUAAACCUUACAUACUAGUCUGUAUUUGUUGUAUAUUUUGUUUUUCAUUUUGUAAAUAAAAGACGCAACAAAGA
This 1651-nucleotide long non-coding RNA is filed under the name Anneissia japonica. RNAcentral describes it as "uncharacterized LOC117113403". The record is from RNAcentral. Lineage: Eukaryota; Metazoa; Echinodermata; Crinoidea; Comatulida; Comatulidae.